AAAAUUCUCUGCAUCUAACUUAUUCCAGCGUCCAUCUGUGCUUAGUCCAUCACUUCCAGCGUUCUUUCUUGCUGUCAUCCAUAAGGUUGCGAGAAGCGAGUGGAUCCUCGUUGGGUGAAAUCGUUGUUGGAGGCUUGCAAGAACAAAGAUCCAUUGCAACAUUCUUCUGGCUGCAAUCAAACCAACAAA
Molecule: long non-coding RNA, 189 nt
Organism: Neltuma alba
Lineage: Eukaryota; Viridiplantae; Streptophyta; Magnoliopsida; Fabales; Fabaceae
Exons: 3
Source: RefSeq, a predicted model, not a curated record